UGAUUCUAUAGAACUCAUACAUUUAAUUAUUUACCCUUUAAUCUCAAUACAGAAGGAGCACAAUACAGAGGGAGCAGCAGCUGGAGAGACACCUGGGGAGGGAGAAGUGGAAAGCCUCUAGAUUUCUGCACAGAGCUGACGGGACAGGGAAGCUGAUUGGGUGCCAAGAUCAACGUGAGCACAGGCUUAAAACUCUGAUUGGACAAGGAGCAAUGGCAAAACAAAUGAUGGUGCCAAUGAAGGUGCCAAGGGUGGCUUGAGCGACUGUGGAUAAGUUCUACAGCAAUGCAAGGAACAGAAGCCCCGGAGAAUAAAAUGUGGUUCCUUGGACAAGUGAAUUCUGCAUCUGAUUUAGCGCCCGCCUCGCUGAGACAACUGCCACCUGUUAUUUUCUGCCAGCUCCGUAUUUAUGCUCUGUGACCUGCUCCAGCUGGCGACGGCCUGCAACGUCGAGAUGAAUGAUUCAUUGAAAUGACAAGAUGUGAAUGUAAACAAAUACCACUCAAAUGAUCAACGCCAUUCCGUAUUGGGCAACAGAACCGGUUGCUGCAGGGUUUGUUGGCAUCUCGCUCCUACCUGGGGUUUGGGGGGGACAUAUGUUGGCGUUAUGCUACAUCCGUGUAGCAGUCUGUCUGUCUGGACCCUAAGUAUAUUUUGGUGGUUUAAGAAACAGUGACGCUGGCUGUACUGAAAUGAAAGCUGACAUUGUGCCAGUCUAUGCGUAACACCACCUACUACUCAAUGCCCGGUUAGGUUACUGUAAUCUACUACAGAGAGGAACAACAGGAAGUAUUGAGUACAAACAAAUUGCUUCCUUGUAGCUGGACCCAAAGAAAACAUUAGGGGAAAAUUGCCACAUGAAACAAAAAAAAAACAGCAGCAACAGUCACGUCAUACUUACGUCUGACCUAAGGGAACUUGGAAAAGUGCAGGAUAUUAAUAGUCAGUAAAAAGGAGCCAUUAAAGGAGAACUUAAACCUAAUCAUUAUUAGGGGUAGAAAUGCUGUAUAUUAUAUAUUCUGAUCUCCUUGUACCAGCCCAAAGGUUCAGCAGCCCCAUAACAGUUCUGAUCCAGGCCUUCAACGUUCCCCCAGCAGCUCCCCAUCUUGGAUCUUGUUAGGCAUCUUUUGAGUGUCAGUGGCACUGCACAUGCUCAGUGGGCUCUGGGCUGUUGCUGGGAAGCUGAGUUUAGGGAGCUUGGGAAAUCAGCAGAAAGUGAGGUGCAUCUGCAAUAUAAGCUGAUGCUACAGGGUUGAUUGUUAAAUUCUGAUGCAGACUGCACUGAUUUCUGAACUGCCAUGUAAUGUGACUCUCAAUUGGAUCCCUACAGAAAAGAAGAUCAGGAGCUACUGGUGGGAUUUUCAGAUUCUCAGAUUUUCCCUGCUAAAUGGCUGUGGGGACCUUGGGCUGGUACAGAAGUCCGAAUUUUUUGUAGCGUUCUCCUUUAAGGGAAGUGUAGCUUCCCUGUACAAUGAAUUAUAGGACCUUGGACAUUUAAAGACUAGCUCCUACAUCAUGUCCCCUGGGUCUGCCGUUAGCUGGAUCACUUUGCUCAAUAAUCCUUAGGGAUUUGUAUUUUCCACAGAUUUCUCCAGUCUGUCCGGGAAUGUACAGACACUCGCUGGACCCAAACAGACAGAUUUAAUCUUUUUAGCAAUACAGCCAAAGUCUGCUUUCUGUUCAUGUCUUUCUGACCAGAUGCCUAUCUGUAGGAAAGUCCCAGACCCAGUCACUGGGUUGAAGAGGGGUGCCAUAGGCAUCAGGGGGUGCUUCUCUAACAAGGUAGAGCGAUACCAAAUCUCUCCCUAACUGGCCUUCAUGCUGGCCCCCCUUAGCUCAUAACAAGGUUACAGAUAUAUAGAAACAUUGGGGUAACAGUCAUCCUGCUAUAGUUCCAGGGGUACCCAGGAAACAAAUAAACACUCACCCCAAAUCUCCCCCUAACUGGCCUUCAAUGUGUCUUUUUCUAUUACCAAUGAAAAUUCUAUAAUCAGAACUAAAGCAACUAUUGACUUUUCCUUAAGUUAGAUACUAAUCAUGAUCUCAGUCUAAUGUGGAGGCUCCACCAAAGUUGCAUAAUGCUAAAAAUGUGCUUCUGGGUCUCCUAAGGUCCACCAGGAUGCGACUCAACUGAAGUCAACAGGCUCAAAUGCAAUAAUACAGAUCCAACACUGGAUCUUCCAACUGAAUGGCGACAACCAUAAUUGGGUUAACCUUCUGUGUCACACAACAACCAGUGCCCCGGUCAAAACCCAUAAUUGAGUAAACGCUUUUAAGAAGAUAUUCGCUUGGUGGUGCUGUCAACUGGAUGUGUAACCUUCUAUGUCAUCUAUGGUCCAACUUUUGUUGUAAUGAUGACUUCUCCCUAAAGCUUGUGUGGUCUCCUAUGGUUCCAAAUCCCACAGCACGGCACCCUACAUAUAGCAGCUAUAUUUUGGAGAAAAAUA
This is a long non-coding RNA of Xenopus laevis (African clawed frog), 2447 nucleotides long. RefSeq lists it as uncharacterized. Lineage: Eukaryota; Metazoa; Chordata; Amphibia; Anura; Pipidae. The record is from RefSeq and is a predicted model, not a curated record. The transcript has 3 exons.